Molecule: long non-coding RNA, 566 nt
Organism: Haliotis rufescens (red abalone)
Lineage: Eukaryota; Metazoa; Mollusca; Gastropoda; Lepetellida; Haliotidae
Exons: 3
Source: RefSeq, a predicted model, not a curated record
ACCAUUCUCAAAGCACAGUGGCUCAACUUGAACCUACAAUAGAAGCAACGACGUGUGGUGCGCGGAUAACCAUCAGAUACACCAACGGAACACUCACUGAGACACAGGUUUUUCACAAACAAGAUUGAUUAUGCUGAGACCACUUUGACUGAGGUUGCUGAGGAAGCUGAUGCUGAUACGGCUGCCGCCAUCCAAACUCUUGUUCCUGAGUGCCAGGGUCGGACCAUCUAUGCCUUGGAGGAGGCAACUGAAGACCCCAGCACAGGAAGAAAGAAGAGUGCGGUUGGAAAACCUAUGUUAGACUGCGAUAUGUCGAGGGACUAGGGUGGAACACCUACUGUGCACUUGAGUUAAACUGCGUCAUCUGAAUGUGAUGACAAAAAGCAACAUCACACAUCGACCCUCUUGUAGUUAUCAAAUUCAUGAUAGAUAUUGUAUGAUUCUUUAGGCUGAUCUACAUUUAAGAGCCCUAUGGUACAAAUUAGUCCAGAUUACACCAUUUGACACUUUUCAGUAAUUAUUUUGAGAAACAUUGCAUUUGUGUAGCAGUUUGUUUUUCCGUGAAA